GGAGAGGGAGGUCCUGAGCUCUUCUCCCUGGUAUCCACCGAUAGGAGGUAUGGAAGUGGUUCAAAGCUGUGCCAGGGGAGGUUUAGACUGUGCAUUAAACACUUCUUUACGGAGAGGGUGGUCAAAGAGUGUAACAGGCUUCCCAGAAAGAUCAUCAAUGCCCCAAGCCCGUCAGCAUUAAAGAGAACAUUUGGACAUGCUUUAACUUGGCUAGCCUUGAAUUGCUCAGGCAGUUGGACUAGAUGAUCACUGUAGGUACCUUCCAACUGAAAUAGUCUAUUCCAUUCUAACAAAACACUUUAUAAUACAUUUGCUUCCUGCCAUAGGAACCUUGGUCUUCAUUUGCAACUAAUUUGAAAAAUGGGGCACUGGCGAUACCAAAAUCUGUGCAGGUGCCAAAUGACCAUUUAUGUUUGGUACGACUGACUCCUCAGCAAAAUCUAUUUACAGGAGGCUUGAAGCCCUCAAAUGCAUCUACUUUUAUUUUCAUGGUGAAACAGUCUUUUGCUAAGCCUAAGUCUAGACUUACUGAUAGAUUAAAUUCAUGGAGCUUGGACAAUAGUGACACAUUACUGAAAGCACUAGAAAUUCCCAAAAAUGCUGCAAUGUGUAACUUGUAUCCAGAAGACUAUAAGCGUCUUUUUGAGGCUUUGCAAAACUCCGAUAUGUUUGCUGAAACUUUGUUCCAUGAUGAAGUCUUGGCAAGUACAAGGAUCAUGAACUUAUAAAUCUAAAGCUUUUGGAAGAUCACCUUUGCUUCUGGAAGAUUACUUUGAUAAAAAGUGAUUUAAAUAAAAUCGGAGAUACUGUUAGCUAGAUGAUUUCCUGUCCAAACAGGAAAAAUUUAGCAAGUAACAAGAGCCCUUCUACAUAGGAUGAAAGUAAUGAUUCAUUUAUCUUUCACAAUCCUGUCUGGAAUCGACAAGCUUUGCACACAAUCCUGUCUGAUAUGGACAAGCUUUGCAACUUUUGCAGGAGCUUAUUAGCUUGUGCUACUGUUGGAUGUACCACUUAAAUGCAACUUUUUGUUACACUGUUGAUGCAUAUUUUCAACAUUUGAAAAAAAUUACCAGACCAAAUUAUCUGUGUGGUUUUUAUUUUAGUGCUUAAUGAUUUGAAUGCCCUUUUGACAGAUUCACAAAAUACAAAGUUCUUUACAACCACUGAGUCUGCUACAUUGUCUGCUUUUCUGAAUUUGCAGCCUAAAGUCAACAUAAUGCUGAUAAAUUAAUUGUGAGUGGUAUGUUAAUAGAAGAUACGGUAAUGACAGGGUGAUAAAACAUUAACUGAGAGUUGCUUUAAAUAAAGAUUGUGUAUGUCCCUGAGGAAAAGUUGUAACAGUUAUUUCUUUUGAAAAUAACAGGGGCAACCUGUACUAGUUUAUAAUAUAAUACACAAACACAUGUGUCUAGGGAUUAUUUUGGGUCUGAAAGUUACCAGAAUAUUCAGUGAUGUAUAAAUGAUUUUAAAAAAUAAAAUCGUCUUACUUGAAACCUUUG
Cyanistes caeruleus (blue tit) is the source of this 1499-nucleotide non-coding RNA. Lineage: Eukaryota; Metazoa; Chordata; Aves; Passeriformes; Paridae. The record is from RefSeq and is a predicted model, not a curated record.